Molecule: ribosomal RNA, 478 nt
Filed under: uncultured bacterium
Lineage: Bacteria
Description: partial 16S ribosomal RNA
Rfam family: Bacterial small subunit ribosomal RNA
Source: RNAcentral
GACGAACGCUGGCGGCGUGCUUAACACAUGCAAGUCGAACGGUAAGGCCCUUCGGGGUACACGAGUGGCGAACGGGUGAGUAACACGUGGGUGAUCUGCCCUGCACUUCGGGAUAAGCCUGGGAAACUGGGUCUAAUACCGGAUAGGACUCCGGGCUGCAUGGUCGGGGGUGGAAAGCUUUUGCGGUGUGGGAUGGGCCCGCGGCCUAUCAGCUUGUUGGUGGGGUGAUGGCCUACCAAGGCGACGACGGGUAGCCGGCCUGAGAGGGUGACCGGCCACACUGGGACUGAGAUACGGCCCAGACUCCUACGGGAGGCAGCAGUGGGGAAUAUUGCACAAUGGGCGCAAGCCUGAUGCAGCGACGCCGCGUGAGGGAUGACGGCCUUCGGGUUGUAAACCUCUUUCAGCAUCGACGAAGCGAAAGUGACGGUAGGUGCAGAAGAAGGACCGGCCAACUACGUGCCAGCAGCCGCAGUAA